AUUGAACGCUGGCGGCAGGCCUAACACAUGCAAGUCGAACGGUAACAGGAAACAGCUUGCUGUUUCGCUGACGAGUGGCGGACGGGUGAGUAAUGUCUGUGAAACUGCCUGAUGUCGGGGGAUAACUACUGGAAACGGUAGCUAAUACCGCAUAACGUCGCAAGACCAAAGAGGGGGACCCCCGGGCCUCUUGCCAUCGGAUGUGCCCAGAUGGGAUUAGCUUGUUGGUGGGGUAACGGCUCACCAAGGCGACGAUCCCUAGCUGGUCUGAGAGGAUGACCAGCCACACUGGAACUGAGACACGGUCCAGACUCCUACGGGAGGCAGCAGUGGGGAAUAUUGCACAAUGGGCGCAAGCCUGAUGCAGCCAUGCCGCGUGUAUGAAGAAGGCCUUCGGGUUGUAAAGUACUUUCAGCGGGGAGGAAGGGAGUAAAGUUAAUACCUUUGCUCAUUGACGUUACCCGCAGAAGAAGCACCGGCUAACUCCGUG
Molecule: ribosomal RNA, 490 nt
Filed under: uncultured bacterium
Lineage: Bacteria
Description: partial 16S ribosomal RNA
Rfam family: Bacterial small subunit ribosomal RNA
Source: RNAcentral